Molecule: long non-coding RNA, 968 nt
Organism: Oncorhynchus tshawytscha (Chinook salmon)
Lineage: Eukaryota; Metazoa; Chordata; Actinopteri; Salmoniformes; Salmonidae
Source: Ensembl
GGGAGGGGGGGAAGGGAGGGAGGAGAGAGGGAGGGAGGGAGAGAGACUUCACUGUUCAUUUUUUACCCUCUUUUAGUCCGCCUGUCAGUGGGAAGUCAGUCAGCCUAGAAGGGGCUAGGAAGCUACUCAAUUCACCUCAACUGCCUGAACAACAGAUAAGAGGAGUUGCUUUCCAAGACGACAUUGAAUGUUCCUGAUUGGAGGAGUUGCAGUUUUGACUGAAAUCUAUUUGAAAAUCUAUGGCAAGACCUGAAAAAUGAUUGUCUAAAAAUGAUCAACAACCAAUUUAACAGAGAUUGAAAAUUACUGAGGAUAAUAGCGGAUGAUAUUACCACCCCUAUUUGCCACAUCUUCAAUCUAACCCUACUAGAAAGUGUGCCCUCAGGCCUGGAGGGAAGCUAGUCAUUCCGCUAUCCAAGAAUAGUAAAGCCCCAGUUAGUGGCUCAAAUAGCCGACCAAUCAGCCUGUUACCAACCCCUAGUAAACUUAUGCGAACAAACAGUGUUUGACCAGAUACAAUGCUAUUUCACAGUAAACCAAUUGACAACAGACUUUCAGCACUAAACGGCUGCUGAUUGGCUGAGAGACAUUUAUAAGGAAAAAGGAUUGUGGUUGUUUUGUUAGACUUCAGUGCGGCUUUUGACAUUAUCGAUCUUAGUCUGCUGCUGGAAAAACCGCCUUAGUAUUCUGUGUUCUCUUUAUGAUGUUGAUUAGGCCAGGGGGUGACGUGGGUAAAUUAUGUAUUUGUCUUGUCUAGGGGUUUUGUAGAUUGAUGGGGUUGUGUUUAGUAUAGUAUUCUAGGUAAGUCUAUGGUUGCCUAGAGUGGUUCUCAAUCAGAGGCAGGUGUUUAUCGUUGUCUCUGAUUGGGAGCCAUAUUUGGGCAGCCAUAUUCGUUGAGUGUUUUGUGGGUGAUUGUUUCCUGUGUCAGUGUGUGUGUCACACGGGACUGUUUCGGGUUUUCACAGUUU